GGGCUUGGAAGCUAAGCAAAGUAUGCCUUGGCUCAUGGGAGACUAUCAGAGAAUUCCAGGACUGUAGGUUAGAUUGGGAAGUUGAACAAAAAGAUCCCAGAAGAAGGUAGUGGCAAACCGCUUCCAUAUUGUUGCUAAGAAAAGUGCAUGGAUGGGAUUUGGGGAUGUCUUUACUUUUAAGACCAGUUGGCACCUCCCAAAACUGGAACCAUGGAGAGGUUGUGGAGAAUUCCUAAAGUACAGGGGAUGUGCUAGAAGAAUGGAGAAGAGCUAUAUGUUGUUCCAGUCUUCAAAAAAGGAAAAAAGCUCCAAGAAACUACUGGUCAGCUUGACAUCAAUACAAGGGAAAAUCCUUUUAAAGACUAUUAAGUAAUGGAUUUGUAAAUACCAAGAAAGGAACAAGGAACAAACACUCUGCUGUUGGCAACUGCUGAAGAAAAAGAGUGUGGGAGCAUUCAGAAUGGGAAGCAAAUGCAGUGACCAAAACCCUUCUUGGCACUGAAGGACCAUCAUGAUUGUGAUUGGAUUGUGGAAGCGUUUGACUCUUGCUGGUCUAACUUUAGAAGAAAUAAAGAUGGGCCAAGAAGCAGCAACCCAGCAGCAAAAACAAGUGACAUUUAAUUGUGCAUGUGUGGGUGACAGUAUUCCAAGCUGUCAUGCUACAAGCUACAAGAUCUUUUCCAUCCUCAAGGCUUCCUUAUAGUUAAUGCCAUGGGAACUUUAUACUUACCGAGCCGUAUAAGUGUCCAUUGGCAUCCAUAGCCAAGUAUCGUCCAGAUUCAGUGCUCUUUAUAUACACCUCACCCACAUUUUCUGUGCUGAGCAGUAAUUGAACUACAGUUUGAAAGGAAAAAUAGGAAAGAUUAUGAGCUACAGUUAAUAUAUACUAUUGUUAAAGCUGAGCAGUGAUGGCUUAGUAAAUUGCCAGGAUUGGUAAUAAAUUGGUGUUAUCCCACGUA
Molecule: long non-coding RNA, 959 nt
Organism: Candoia aspera
Lineage: Eukaryota; Metazoa; Chordata; Lepidosauria; Squamata; Candoiidae
Exons: 3
Source: RefSeq, a predicted model, not a curated record